Molecule: ribosomal RNA, 481 nt
Filed under: endophytic bacterium WS10b
Lineage: Bacteria
Description: bacterial SSU rRNA
Rfam family: Bacterial small subunit ribosomal RNA
Source: RNAcentral
AAGCGCCGUAAAAAUGUCCAACUUGGAGGUUGUUCCCUUGAGGAGUGGCUUCCGGAGCUAACGCGUUAAGUCGACCGCCUGGGGAGUACGGCCGCAAGGUUAAAACUCAAAUGAAUUGACGGGGGCCCGCACAAGCGGUGGAGCAUGUGGUUUAAUUCGAUGCAACGCGAAGAACCUUACCUACUCUUGACAUCCACGGAAUUCGGCAGAGAUGCCUUACUGCCUUCGGGAACCGUGAGACAGGUGCUGCAUGGCUGUCGUCAGCUCGUGUUGUGAAAUGUUGGGUUAAGUCCCGCAACGAGCGCAACCCUUAUCCUUUGUUGCCAGCGGUUCAUCCGGGAACUCAAAAGGAACCGGCAGUGAUAAACUGGAAGAAGGGGGGGAUGAACUCCAGUCAUCCUGGCCCUUACUAAUAAGGCUACACACCUGCUACAAUGGCGAAUAUAAAAAGAAACUACUUCCCCAGUGCAAACGGAACUUA